UGCGUAGGCGGCUGAUUAAGUCGGAUGUGAAAUCCCCGAGCUUAACUUAGGAAUUGCAUUCGAUACUGGUCAGCUAGAGUAUGGGAGAGGAUGGUAGAAUUCCAGGUGUAGCGGUGAAGUGCGUAGAGAUCUGGAAGAAUACCGAUGGCGAAGGCAGCCAUCUGGCCUAAUACUGACGCUGAGGUACGAAAGCAUGGGGAGCAAACA
RNAcentral lists this ribosomal RNA (207 nucleotides) under uncultured bacterium. RNAcentral's name for it is "partial 16S ribosomal RNA". It matches the Rfam family "Bacterial small subunit ribosomal RNA", at positions 568 to 774 of the family's 1533-position model. The record is from RNAcentral.